RNAcentral lists this ribosomal RNA (445 nucleotides) under uncultured bacterium. Its description in RNAcentral is "bacterial SSU rRNA". It matches the Rfam family "Bacterial small subunit ribosomal RNA", at positions 97 to 520 of the family's 1533-position model. The record is from RNAcentral.
GGCGCACGGGUGCGUAACACGUGGAUAAUCUGCUUGGGUGUCUGGGAUAACCAAUCGAAAGAUUGGCUAAUACCGGAUAAGCCCCCGGGAGCUUCGGCUCUUGAGGGAAAAGGUGGCCUCUGUAUACAAGCUAUCACAUCCAGAUGAGUCCGCGGCCCAUCAGCUAGUUGGCGGGGUAAUGGCCCACCAAGGCGACGACGGGUAGCUGGUCUGAGAGGACGAUCAGCCACACUGGAACUGAGACACGGUCCAGACUCCUACGGGAGGCAGCAGUGGGGAAUUUUGCGCAAUGGGCGAAAGCCUGACGCAGCAACGCCGCGUGUGUGAUGAAGGUCUUCGGAUUGUAAAGCACUUUCGACCGGGACGAAAACCCUCCAGCCAAUACCUGGGGGCUUGACGGUACCGGGAGAAGAAGCACCGGCUAACUCUGUGCCAGCCGCCGCGG